CAAAUGGCCCUUUUCAGGGCCACAAAUUUUUUAUGGAACGAAGAAG
Habropoda laboriosa is the source of this 46-nucleotide non-coding RNA. Lineage: Eukaryota; Metazoa; Arthropoda; Insecta; Hymenoptera; Apidae. The record is from Rfam.